This is a long non-coding RNA of Macadamia integrifolia, 451 nucleotides long. RefSeq lists it as uncharacterized. The transcript is spliced from 2 exons. NCBI's taxonomy places the organism in Eukaryota, Viridiplantae, Streptophyta, Magnoliopsida, Proteales, Proteaceae. The record is from RefSeq and is a predicted model, not a curated record.
UGUACUAAUUAAUACACAUAGAGCUUACUCAGUCUAUAAAUAUCACAGACAUGGAUCCCUGGAUAACUUAAAGAAAACAUUUCUUUUUUUUUUUAAAGGAAAAGAGAUGGCAAGAAUUGGAGCUGCAAGAAUCCUCUUUCUAUUGGUUUUGAUAGUCUGCACAGCUGCAUGUCUAACUAAUAUGGAACAUGGAGCUGUGAAGGAAGAAGUGAAGUGCUCCUUAAAGACAAAAGAAACAGUGAAGUGCUGUGCAACCCUUCAUUUGGAGAAAUGUGAUCACAAGGAAAGUGCUGACAAUGAUUGUUGCAAUAGAGUGUGCUCUGAAACAUGCAAGAAGGGUGGAGAAUGCAAGCCAUGGGAACAGAAUGGGAUUUGUCAUUGUAACUGUUGAUGAAUAAUAAAUAUAUAAAAUAAAUAAAUAAAUAAAUAAAUAAAUAAAUAAAUAAAUAAA